Molecule: long non-coding RNA, 1292 nt
Filed under: Heterocephalus glaber (naked mole-rat)
Lineage: Eukaryota; Metazoa; Chordata; Mammalia; Rodentia; Bathyergidae
Description: lncRNA (ENSHGLG00000040285.1)
Source: RNAcentral
GUUGUAGGGUCAGGGAGAGACAGGAGGGUGUAUGGUAACCUGGGUUCCUGGUGUCCUUUUCAGGGGAGAGGGAAUGAAGAGCCUUUCCUGGAACCUGGACUCAUUUACUUCUCUAGCUUUCCCCAUGGGACCCUCUACUGCAAAGGAGUGCAGCAUGUUGUUAGGUAUCCUGCAGUGGCUCAGAGAUAACAAGAAAGGUGGUAGUCCCAGUCCAGCUGCAUCCACAGAAGACACAGAAAUGCACAGUCACAGGCUGGUGAAGUGACUUGUCCAGACCUCCUAAGCCAGAGAAUAGAAGCCACAUGUGUAUGCAGGUGUGCUGUAUCCAGACUUCCUGCUAUGUCCACCUUGCCUCCCGUUCAGUACCCCUGGGAACCACAGCUGAGCUCCAGAGGACUGAAGCACCUGGCUUGCAAGGACAGCUGAGACGAAACUCACAAGGAGGAUCAGUUGCAGCUCAAGAUUCAGGUGGAAUGAGUCAGAGGCUUUGGUGACCGAAAUGGAGCUGUGAUUUUCCACAAGAAUUUACUGAAACCAGACCAGGUGGUGAACCACAACCUCUCAAGGUAGUUGGAGAGACCAUAAUCCCCAGUAGGUAAGGCCUACAUGUUCUUUCAGCUAGACGUAGCUAUAUGAAGACAAUAUCCUAUAAAGAAUUAUGGGGAUUUAUGUUGCAGGCCAGAAAUAAGGCAGGAGAUUAGCACUGGCCAGCUGGCUAGGCAAGUAGGCAUGACUUGUCAAUCACAGAGAUCCAAGACACAUGGCCAGAAAAACAAUGCCCAAACCUUGCUCCCCUGGGACCAAUCCAAACAUGCUGAUUUUAAUUCUUCUGGCACAAAAUCAAGCAGGUUUUUGUCACGACAGCCUAGAUCUGACUUCAGAAUGAGAACUAUGAAAGAUAUUGGCCAUUAAUCUUGUGGCUCCUAUGCUCUCUUUCCAAGUGGUUUGCUCUCACUCUGCAGUGUGUACUUCUUUUCCUACCUUUAAUAUAAGUAAAACUUACUACCUUUUGCACUUGUCUUGUCCAAUUCUUUGAUCAGGACAAGAACCUGGAAAUUAUCUCUAGAAGGAGCCCACAGCACCCCAGAACCCAAGCAACAAGAAUAUGAUCACAAGUAUAACACGGUCAAAGCCAAAGGGAGAGAAGGGUUCAUUGUGACCUACUCUCAUAUCUCCCAGAUGAGUAAACCAAAGUCUGUAAGGGGCUGGGCCAUAUGAAAUAGUGGUGGGAUUAGAGUGAUGUGACACCCAGUACAGUAUUCUCUCUGUACUGGGGGAGUCCAGAAAGUAAG